UAACAUUUUCCACAUGUUUUCCAUUAUUUCCAUUUAUUUACAUCAAAUUACAAAAAUCAUAAAAAAUAGCAUAUGAGUCCAAUUUAAUCCAUUCUUUUUUCCACAUGUUCAUUUUAAUGUCUAUUAUUUUGUGACAUUUAUUUUUUGAUUUGUGCCUUGCUGGAAUUUUGAAUGUGCUGGUUGUUUGAACAUGAUGCAAAAAUGACAUGAUGUGCUAUUUGAUUUGUGAAAUGCUAAU
This 238-nucleotide long non-coding RNA is filed under the name Lathyrus oleraceus (garden pea). RNAcentral describes it as "Pisum sativum (pea) long non-coding RNA (PSAT_LNC016586)". The record is from RNAcentral. Lineage: Eukaryota; Viridiplantae; Streptophyta; Magnoliopsida; Fabales; Fabaceae.